CAGUCGCCGCGGUAAGACAGAGGAUGCAAGCGUUAUCCGGAAUGAUUGGGCGUAAAGCGUCUGUAGGUGGCUUUUAAAGUCCGCCGUCAAAUCCCAGGGCUCAACCCUGGACAGGCGGUGGAAACUACCAAGCUGGGGUACGGUAGGGGCAGAGGGAACUUCCGGUGGAGCGGUGAAAUGCGUUGAGAUCGGAAAGAACACCAACGGCGAAAGCACUCUGCUGGGCCGACACUGACACUGAGAGACGAAAGCUAGGGGAGCAAAUGGGAUUAGAGACCCCCGUAGUCCCUGUCUCUUAUAC
RNAcentral lists this ribosomal RNA (301 nucleotides) under uncultured bacterium. Its description in RNAcentral is "partial 16S ribosomal RNA". It matches the Rfam family "Bacterial small subunit ribosomal RNA", at positions 509 to 807 of the family's 1533-position model. The record is from RNAcentral.